This 252-nucleotide long non-coding RNA is filed under the name Homo sapiens (human). RNAcentral's name for it is "LHRI_LNC1333.1". Lineage: Eukaryota; Metazoa; Chordata; Mammalia; Primates; Hominidae. The record is from RNAcentral.
UAGCAGUUGGAGUUUUGAGACGGAGUCUCGUUCUGUCGCCCAGGCUGGAGUGCAGUGGUGUGAACUCGGCUCACUGCAAGCUCUGCCUCCCGGGUUCACGCCAUUCUCCUGCCUCAGCCUCCCGAGUAGCUGGGACUACAGGCGCCCGCCACCACGCCCGGCUAAUUUUUUGUAUUUUUGGUAGAGACAGGGUUUCACCGUGUUAGCCAGGAUGGUCUUGAUCUCAUGACCUUGUGAUCCACCCACCUCGGC